GUGGGGAAUAUUGCGCAAUGGGCGGAAGCCUGACGCAGCGACGCCGCGUGGGGGAUGACGGCCUUCGGGUUGUAAACCUCUUUCAGCAGGGACGAAGUUGACGUGUACCUGCAGAAGAAGCGCCGGCUAACUACGUGCCAGCAGCCGCGGUAAUACGUAGGGCGCAAGCGUUGUCCGGAAUUAUUGGGCGUAAAGAGCUCGUAGGUGGCUGGUCGCGUCUGCCGUGAAAGCCCGCAGCUUAACUGCGGGUCUGCGGUGGAUACGGGCCGGCUAGAGGUAGGUAGGGGCAAGUGGAAUUCCUGGUGUAGCGGUGAAAUGCGCAGAUAUCAGGAGGAACACCGGUGGCGAAGGCGGCUUGCUGGGCCUUACCUGACGCUGAGGAGCGAAAGCGUGGGGAGCGAACAGGAUUAGAAACCCCAGUAGUCC
RNAcentral lists this ribosomal RNA (426 nucleotides) under uncultured bacterium. RNAcentral describes it as "bacterial SSU rRNA". It matches the Rfam family "Bacterial small subunit ribosomal RNA", at positions 354 to 796 of the family's 1533-position model. The record is from RNAcentral.